UACAGAGACUGCAAGCGUUAUUCGGAUUCACUGGGCGUAAAGGGAGCGUAGGUGGCCUUAUAAGUCAGUGGUGAAAUCUCUGGGCUUAACCCAGAAAUUGCCAUUGAUACUGUAGGGCUUGAGUAUAGUUGCCGUUGGCGGAAUAUGACAUGUAGUGGUGAAAUACAUAGAGAUGUCAUAGAACACCGAUUGCGAAGGCAGCUGACGAAACUAUAACUGACACUGAGGCUCGAAAGUGCGGGGAUCAAACAGG
This 253-nucleotide ribosomal RNA is filed under the name uncultured bacterium. Its description in RNAcentral is "partial 16S ribosomal RNA". It matches the Rfam family "Bacterial small subunit ribosomal RNA", at positions 524 to 776 of the family's 1533-position model. The record is from RNAcentral.